Molecule: non-coding RNA, 929 nt
Organism: Doryrhamphus excisus (bluestripe pipefish)
Lineage: Eukaryota; Metazoa; Chordata; Actinopteri; Syngnathiformes; Syngnathidae
Source: RefSeq, a predicted model, not a curated record
AACGCCUCCUUUUUGCCCACAAAAUACAAGGGCAACAGGACAAUCCCUUCAACAAUCUUGUAGCAGCAUACAGCAUGCUGAAUGUAGCAGCAUAGGAGUAUAUCCAUAUCUCCCUAUGCAGCGUGUACCGUUAAACAGACCUCACUGCUGGCCAAUCAUUGUGUAGGUGGAGAGUAUUUAAGCAGCGCUCCUCUCACUGCUUCUUCCGUUGCACUUCCGUCUGUGUACUUCCGGGUCAAGUGUUCGACUGAGACAGAGUGAUCGGUGUGCUGCUAGGGCAUACGUGUCUUUCGGCGUCCUAUUGUGGUGAGACACCCGUAGCCGCCUGGGUUUACUCCCUCCCUCGCUCCUCUCAUGUGCCUGUGUGUCUGCUUAGAAGGUGUAAUCUGCCUGAAUGCCAGCUAACACUGCCGCCGCAUGUGAUGUCAUCGCCAGCCGUCUGAGAACGCCGCUGCUUCGUCUGCGCUGUCGCUGCUUGCCUUGACUGACUGCUCUCCCGCUGCUGUGCUACGGCUUGCUACUGGCCUGUUCUGCUACUGCUCGGUCUUGUGGCUUCACCUAGCUGGGAGCUUAGCGCUGGUAGCCUCUGUCUGCGCUCUGGACUGCUCUGCCUGCUGUGAUCAGCCCGCGGGCGGGACUGUGACUGACUUGCCAGGCCGCUCGGCCUCUCCUGACAGACAGACACUAGUUGCUGAGGAUCGGUGGUGGUGCUGGUGGUCUGGGUGGCGGUAUCCCCUCCUUCUGUGUGCGGUGCUCCUCUGGGAUUUGGUUUUCUUUGCACAUCCCUGUGUGUGCCACGUGUGACUGGGUGCUUUUUGGGUUGUUUUGGGUAGAUCCCUCCCCCCUUCACUAGCCCAUUGUCCACCUGGUAAGCCUCAGCACCUGAUUAGGUUUCCCUCUUGCCCUUCUUGUGUGUGUGGUAUUUUAAA